This 451-nucleotide ribosomal RNA is filed under the name uncultured bacterium. RNAcentral's name for it is "bacterial SSU rRNA". It matches the Rfam family "Bacterial small subunit ribosomal RNA", at positions 55 to 518 of the family's 1533-position model. The record is from RNAcentral.
AUGCAAGUCGAGCGGUCCGCAAGGAUAGCGGCGAACGGGUGAGUAACGCGUAAGCAAUCUGCCCCGCAUAUUGGGAUAGCCGUGCCAACGCGCGGAUAAUACCGAAUAACCGUGGCCCCGGACAUCCGGGGUUGACGAAAGAUUCAUCGAUGCGGGAUGAGCUUGCGUCCGAUUAGCUAGUUGGCGGGGCAACGGCCACCAAGGCGACGAUCGGUAGCCGGCCUGAGAGGGUGAUCGGCCACAUUGGGGACUGAGAUACGGCCCAGACUCCUACGGGAGGCAGCAGUAGGGAAUAUUGCACAAUGGGGGAAACCCUGAUGGCAGCAACGCCACGUGUGGGAAGAAGCAUUUCGGUGUGUAAACCACUGUCGUGAGGGAAUAAUACGCGUCUUCGGGCGCGGGAGAAUGUACCUCGAAAGGAAGCACCGGCAAACUUCGUGCCAGCAGCAGC